GGGUUGUGAGGUUAAGCGACUAAGCGUACACGGUGGAUGCCCUGGCAGUCAGAGGCGAUGAAGGACGUGCUAAUCUGCGAAAAGCGUCGGUAAGGUGAUAUGAACCGUUAUAACCGGCGAUGUCCGAAUGGGGAAACCCAGUGCAAUUCGUUGCACUAUCGUUAACUGAAUACAUAGGUUAACGAGGCGAACCGGGGGAACUGAAACAUCUAAGUACCCCGAGGAAAAGAAAUCAACCGAGAUUCCCCCAGUAGCGGCGAGCGAACGGGGAGCAGCCCAGAGUCUGAAUCAGCUUGUGUGUUAGUGGAACGGUCUGGAAAGUCCGACGGUACAGGGUGAUAGUCCCGUACACCAAAAUGCACAGGCUGUGAACUCGAAGAGUAGGGCGGGACACGUGGUAUCCUGUCUGAAUAUGGGGGGACCAUCCUCCAAGGCUAAAUACUCCUGACUGACCGAUAGUGAACCAGUACCGUGAGGGAAAGGCGAAAAGAACCCCGGCGAGGGGAGUGAAAAAGAACCUGAAACCGUGUACGUACAAGCAGUGGGAGCACCUUCGGGUGUGACUGCGUACCUUUUGUAUAAUGGGUCAGCGACUUAUAUUCUGUAGCAAGGUUAACCGUAUAGGGGAGCCGCAGGGAAACCGAGUCUUAACUGGGCGUUAAGUUGCAGGGUAUAGACCCGAAACCCGGUGAUCUAGCCAUGGGCAGGUUGAAGGUUGGGUAACACUAACUGGAGGACCGAACCGACUAAUGUUGAAAAAUUAGCGGAUGACUUGUGGCUGGGGGUGAAAGGCCAAUCAAACCGGGAGAUAGCUGGUUCUCCCCGAAAGCUAUUUAGGUAGCGCCUCGUGAACUCAUCUUCGGGGGUAGAGCACUGUUUCGGCUAGGGGGUCAUCCCGACUUACCAACCCGAUGCAAACUACGAAUACCGAAGAAUGUUAUCACGGGAGACACACGGCGGGUGCUAACGUCCGUCGUGAAGAGGGAAACAACCCAGACCGCCAGCUAAGGUCCCAAAGUCAUGGUUAAGUGGGAAACGAUGUGGGAAGGCACAGACAGCCAGGAUGUUGGCUUAGAAGCAGCCAUCAUUUAAAGAAAGCGUAAUAGCUCACUGGUCGAGUCGGCCUGCGCGGAAGAUGUAACGGGGCUAAACCAUGCACCGAAGCUGCGGCAGCGACACUAUGUGUUGUUGGGUAGGGGAGCGUUCUGUAAGCCUGCGAAGGUGUGCUGUGAGGCAUGCUGGAGGUAUCAGAAGUGCGAAUGCUGACAUAAGUAACGAUAAAGCGGGUGAAAAGCCCGCUCGCCGGAAGACCAAGGGUUCCUGUCCAACGUUAAUCGGGCAGGGUGAGUCGACCCCUAAGGCGAGGCCGAAAGGCGUAGUCGAUGGGAAACAGGUUAAUAUUCCUGUACUUGGUGUUACUGCGAAGGGGGGACGGAGAAGGCUAUGUUAGCCGGGCGACGGUUGUCCCGGUUUAAGCAUGUAGGCUGAUUGUCCAGGCAAAUCCGGAUAAUCAAGGCUGAGGUGUGAUGACGAGGCACUACGGUGCUGAAGUAACAAAUGCCCUGCUUCCAGGAAAAGCCUCUAAGCAUCAGGUAACAUUAAAUCGUACCCCAAACCGACACAGGUGGUCAGGUAGAGAAUACCAAGGCGCUUGAGAGAACUCGGGUGAAGGAACUAGGCAAAAUGGUGCCGUAACUUCGGGAGAAGGCACGCUGGUGUGUAGGUGAAGUCCCUGCGGAUGGAGCUGAGACCAGUCGAAGAUACCAGCUGGCUGCAACUGUUUAUUAAAAACACAGCACUGUGCAAACACGAAAGUGGACGUAUACGGUGUGACGCCUGCCCGGUGCCGGAAGGUUAAUUGAUGGGGUUAUCCGUAAGGAGAAGCUCUUGAUCGAAGCCCCGGUAAACGGCGGCCGUAACUAUAACGGUCCUAAGGUAGCGAAAUUCCUUGUCGGGUAAGUUCCGACCUGCACGAAUGGCGUAAUGAUGGCCAGGCUGUCUCCACCCGAGACUCAGUGAAAUUGAACUCGCUGUGAAGAUGCAGUGUACCCGCGGCAAGACGGAAAGACCCCGUGAACCUUUACUAUAGCUUGACACUGAACAUUGAGCCUUGAUGUGUAGGAUAGGUGGGAGGCUUUGAAGCGUGGACGCCAGUCUGCGUGGAGCCAACCUUGAAAUACCACCCUUUAAUGUUUGAUGUUCUAACGUUGGCCCCUUACCGGGGUUGCGGACAGUGUCUGGUGGGUAGUUUGACUGGGGCGGUCUCCUCCCAAAGCGUAACGGAGGAGCACGAAGGUUAGCUAAUCCUGGUCGGACAUCAGGAGGUUAGUGCAAUGGCAUAAGCUAGCUUGACUGCGAGCGUGACGGCGCGAGCAGGUGCGAAAGCAGGUCAUAGUGAUCCGGUGGUUCUGAAUGGAAGGGCCAUCGCUCAACGGAUAAAAGGUACUCCGGGGAUAACAGGCUGAUACCGCCCAAGAGUUCAUAUCGACGGCGGUGUUUGGCACCUCGAUGUCGGCUCAUCACAUCCUGGGGCUGAAGUAGGUCCCAAGGGUAUGGCUGUUCGCCAUUUAAAGUGGUACGCGAGCUGGGUUUAGAACGUCGUGAGACAGUUCGGUCCCUAUCUGCCGUGGGCGCUGGAGAAUUGAGGGGGGCUGCUCCUAGUACGAGAGGACCGGAGUGGACGCAUCACUGGUGUUCGGGUUGUCAUGCCAAUGGCACUGCCCGGUAGCUAAAUGCGGAAGAGAUAAGUGCUGAAAGCAUCUAAGCACGAAACUUGCCCCGAGAUGAGUUCUCCCUGAGACUUUAAGUCUCCUGAAGGAACGUUGAAGACGACGACGUUGAUAGGCCGGGUGUGUAAGCGCAGCGAUGCGUUGAGCUAACCGGUACUAAUGAACCGUGAGGCUUAACCUUACAACGCCGAAG
This 2922-nucleotide ribosomal RNA is filed under the name Klebsiella pneumoniae. RNAcentral describes it as "bacterial LSU rRNA". It matches the Rfam family "Bacterial large subunit ribosomal RNA". The record is from RNAcentral. Lineage: Bacteria; Pseudomonadati; Pseudomonadota; Gammaproteobacteria; Enterobacterales; Enterobacteriaceae.